RNAcentral lists this non-coding RNA (116 nucleotides) under Homo sapiens (human). Lineage: Eukaryota; Metazoa; Chordata; Mammalia; Primates; Hominidae. The record is from Rfam by way of RNAcentral.
GCUGGGCGCGAUGGCUCACGCCUGUAAUCCCAGUACUCUGGGAGGCCGAGGUGGGAGGAUCACCUGAGGUCAGGAGUUUGAGACCAGCCUGGCCAACAUGGUGAAACCCACCUCUC